Long non-coding RNA from Hyaena hyaena (striped hyena), 226 nucleotides. RefSeq lists it as uncharacterized. Lineage: Eukaryota; Metazoa; Chordata; Mammalia; Carnivora; Hyaenidae. The transcript is spliced from 3 exons. The record is from RefSeq and is a predicted model, not a curated record.
GUGUUUUACCAGAUUCCUAGUUCAACGGUACUCUCGUGUCAAUAAAGCAAAGUCCACAGACUCCAGGCUGGAGAGGCUGCCCGGGGCAGAUGGAAAAGAGCAAGGGCAGAAUCAUCCUGGGACUCUUACUGCUUCUGCUCAGAUGUGGCAUAAACCAUUUCAGCUGAAAUUCCAUUAACUGAAGCAAGCCACCUGGAGAGAAAUACAGAGCAUGAGCAGGGGAGGG